Molecule: ribosomal RNA, 549 nt
Filed under: uncultured bacterium
Lineage: Bacteria
Description: bacterial SSU rRNA
Rfam family: Bacterial small subunit ribosomal RNA
Source: RNAcentral
AGGGAAUCUUCCACAAUGGACGAAAGUCUGAUGGAGCAACGCCGCGUGAACGAUGAAGGCCUUCGGGUCGUAAAGUUCUGUUGUAAGGGAAGAACAAGUGCCGCAGGCAAUGGCGGCACCUUGACGGUACCUUGCGAGAAAGCCACGGCUAACUACGUGCCAGCAGCCGCGGUAAUACGUAGGUGGCAAGCGUUGUCCGGAAUUAUUGGGCGUAAAGCGCGCGCAGGCGGCCUCUUAAGUCUGAUGUGAAAGCCCCCGGCUCAACCGGGGAGGGCCAUUGGAAACUGGGAGGCUUGAGUAUAGGAGAGAAGAGUGGAAUUCCACGUGUAGCGGUGAAAUGCGUAGAGAUGUGGAGGAACACCAGUGGCGAAGGCGACUCUUUGGCCUAUAACUGACGCUGAGGCGCGAAAGCGUGGGGAGCAAACAGGAUUAGAUACCCUGGUAGUCCACGCCGUAAACGAUGAGUGCUAGGUGUUGGAGGGUUUCCGCCCUUCAGUGCUGAAGCUAACGCAUUAAGCACUCCGCCUGGGGAGUACGGUCGCAAGGCUG